UAAGCCAUGACUGCACCACUGCACUCCAGCCUGGGUGACAGAGCAAGACCCUGUCUUAAAAAAGAAAAGUUUAUUAACGUGAAUAUCAGUUAGAAAUCUAGUUGUUCAUUGCAAAACUAAACCAGUUUAUAGCAGAAAUAAGCACUUGGAGGGAAAUGUUACAUUUUCACUGCAGGCCUUGAAUCCUUAGCCACCAGCUCCGUGUCCUUCAGUGUUCUGUGGUUCCUGGUUCCAGAGAGAUCACCUGCUCCAAUGUAACGAGUGAAGAGUUCUUUAGAGGUUUAUUUCGAACAACUGGCAAUUCCAGGAAUGAUGGAAUAAAGCAUACGAAGUAGAAGGACUGGAACCUCCAGAAAAAGUACUUUAAGUUACCUACAGGUGAUCCUAGUCAGGUAUGAAUUGAUAAGAAAUGCCUGCACCUUCCCUCCUUCCUAUCUUUCCCUUGCCUACAGAAAAUUAAAAGGCAAAACAAUGGACAUCUACAUAUUCUUCAUUCAGAUCAACCAGUGGCUAGCAUUUGCCACCUUUUGCAGUUUCUUUCUCUUUCCAUAAGUACUUUCUUCUCUGAAUCAUUUGAAAGCAAAUGAAAACAGUAGCCUAAAGUGUCAGUUUCAACCCGAAAAUAACAGCUCUGAUUUCUCAUGGCUCACACUCGUCUGAAAUGACUCGGGUAGAGGCUGAGGAAGGCUGUGUUGUUUGUCUACCUGGGACUACACCUACUGAAAGAAGUUCUCAAGUUCUGAUUGAGUUCUAAAAUUCUUUUGAAGAUUGGAAUUCUUCAUAUGUAAAAAGAGAAGAGAAAGACAUUCUUGAUUUUGGUGACUAGAGUUGUAGAUGCUGGAAGCUUUGCCACUAACAUUGAUGAACCAGAUGCAUGUCACCAGCCCAUCACGGUGAUUCUUAAUGCCGGCACCAUGGGCCGGCACUGCCACGUUUUCCAAGGAACCUGCCAGAGCUCCUGCGGAAGCUGCUCCUCGGGCGAUGGAGUCCCUUUGCUGCUAGGCCCUUCUUCAGUCACCACAGGAUGCCUGCCAUUCAUGAACAGGAAGGAGAGGACGGGCUUUGAAUAAAAAACAGGAUCCAGGAAAUAUUUGUGAGGCCAUUUGGACUUCAGUGUGAAAUGGUGUUAAAAGAUGAAGUCAUUUAUUCAAGAAGUAAACCUCUGCCACCUGGACUGUGCUCAGACAUUUCAUUGAUUUUGUUUAAUAAACAUUUUCUGGCUUUGG
Molecule: long non-coding RNA, 1226 nt
Filed under: Homo sapiens (human)
Lineage: Eukaryota; Metazoa; Chordata; Mammalia; Primates; Hominidae
Description: HSALNT0331295
Source: RNAcentral